UUUUUUUUUAAAGUUUUGUCCACUUGUCGAACGUAUGUGCAAAGAAAAGAAACCGGAACGAACAAAGGAAAUAGAUACGUACUUUUUUUUUGAGGGAAAAAUAGAUACGUACGUGUAAAGGAAACUUGAAACCUAAGGGAAGCAGCCGGCCGGCCGGCCCGUAUCUAUUUCUCAGUUGCCAAACGAAACAGAGCUGCCGGCCCAUAUGUCGAUUUUAUUUAUAGUUGCCAGCCAAUAUCGAGAGGACCCAUGGCAAAUUAAGGUUUCCUUGAGCGAAGAAAACAGCAGACGGCCAUUCAUGAAAACCUCAAAUGACUCGAAGGCCAGUAACUUCUCAAUCGGCCGAGACAACGGCAACGAGGGGAACUUUCAAAAGGUGCAGCCCCUCACUGGUCGCCGCCGCUGCACAUCGGCCACGGACGACGGCGAGGAGGUGAAACGGCCGAUGGGGAGGUGAGCCUGCCGUGCUUUGUGUUUCACGUUUAGUAAUCAUGCCACGGUCGAAUACCACCGAACAGGGCCGAUUGUGCAUGCACGUCAUCGUCGCCAUGGCCAUGCUAAGCAAAGAAAGAAGAGACAAGACAAGCAUCAUGCAUCAAUACAUGCUACGUCUAUCCUAAUCUGACAUGCAUAAUAUCUCUUUCUAGGUAUCUAAGGAAAUUACGAGCAUGCAUGCAUGGCUCAACCCGCAGGGUGCAAUCACUUGCUUUAUUUAUACUGACAUUACUUAGUCUUCAGUUUCUCGCAAAAGAAAAGUUAGUCUUGAGGCGGCUAAAAAAAUUAGGUGCUUUAAUACAAAUUAACACAGAUUUAUUUUGUGCAGACCACCUUCAUUGUGGGGAGUCAUGUGUGUUGUUUAACGUACUGCUUGGUAAUCGUGUGUUACAGAUAGGAAUGGUAUCAAAUAAUUACAUAUUAAGUGGUCAUGGUCAACUAAAUUGCUUAAAUGUGAUUGUUAUAUGAUAACUUUUUGUGUGUAAAGUUCAUUCCGGAAUCACUGAUUGAUGGACGAAAUUAUGAUGUCAAAUUUUUAUUCACAAUCUGGUCGGUGAAAUUGCUUAAACAUGGUUAUCAAAUCAGACAUCUAUGUUCUGAAGGUUUUAGCUGUAUCAUAUAUUUAGUUUAUUUAUCAACAUUGUUUCCCAUUGCAAUGCGCUGGCAUUUAACUAGAAACCUACAAAUAGAGAUUUUUAUAUAUAUACAAGUCAGAAGUUGCUAUACAUAUGCCUACGGAAGAUAAGAUUCCACAGCAGCAAUCAAACAAACUUUAAAUGUUCAUGCCAAUUAAUUUUUUAUACCUAUUACUAAAUUUCCCCUACUAUAGUUUGUUGUUCUUUCAUCGGAUAUUUUAGCAAUAUAUAGAUAUCACACCGGUCGCCUGGCAAAAGCCAGUGAAGACAGGCCAACAAAUGUUCUAACUUGAAAAUUCUCAAAAGUUCUUUCAUUUCUACACAUUCGCACAUCCCGAUUCUCACAGCCUAUUCUUUUUUCUCCCGUUGCAACGCACGGGCAUGUUUCCUAGUGAUGAACAAAUUGUGAUACACUAAUGCAGUACCACUUGGCUAAACGAUAGAGAAAUUCUCAACACCAUGGCACGCUGAGUGACUUGCUCUAAUUUUAAUCUAUCCAACCACCUCGGUUUAUUCCUUUAUGUCGAGCUUACUUACUUUAUUUGAAUAAUUCAUGAGGUCAAAUAUUUGAUGAAUUAUUUUCGGCACUGAACCAUGCACUAUUGUAUUGUUUUGGAUUUCACGGCUCAACCGAGCAGCGCGCGCCAAGGCGCGAUGCCUAUCUAGUUCAUGUGGUGGGUAGUCAACUAGUCAUCAUCUCAUGAAAGUAGUUCCAACAUGCCGACGUGUAGUCAAAAGCAUCAGGAUAAGUGGGUACGUUCGAAUUGUCCAGACAAACGCCCUAUUUUGGCUCCUCUCAGUUGCCAAUCCACAAGAUUUCAGAAAUCAACAUCAAACAAUGAGAAGCAAUCCCCCAAGCUAAGGCGUGCAAACAAGAUGUAGAUCAAGAAAGUAACACUAUACAAAAUGCACGAGAAGUAAUUGAAUCGAUUGGGCCAAAACUCGAAAGACAAACAGCAAGCUGCAGCAGCCCUGCAGCACCAAGGCUGUAGAGGCAAAGUGAACCUUUGGAGGCAAGCAAUGUAACUAUAUAGUUCAACAGAGCACAUCAUCAUUCUGAAGGAAAUAGCACAGUAUAGCAUUUCUGCAAAACUCAUGAUAGCAACCUACACCGAAUAUCUUCUUGACAUGAAUAAAGACCCAACCCAGACUACUGCUCAGAGAGCAAAUCCUACUCAUAAGAGCACCAUAGAUUUGAACUGGUUGUGCAGGCAGAUAACCCAAACACCCUAGUAACCACCCUUGAGAUCAUUGACCACAUCGUAGGGAAUGGGAGUGACGGUCUCAAUUGUGGUACCCUCGACCAUGAACCCAGGUUUAGGGCCGAGUGGCUGCCUCUUGGUGCUGAUGACCUCACCGCGCGCCUUGGCUUCCGCCUUGAGCUGGUCGUUCUUCACUUUCCUCAG
Molecule: long non-coding RNA, 2536 nt
Filed under: Triticum aestivum (bread wheat)
Lineage: Eukaryota; Viridiplantae; Streptophyta; Magnoliopsida; Poales; Poaceae
Description: long non-coding RNA (TAES_LNC004437)
Source: RNAcentral